This 207-nucleotide ribosomal RNA is filed under the name uncultured bacterium. RNAcentral's name for it is "partial 16S ribosomal RNA". It matches the Rfam family "Bacterial small subunit ribosomal RNA", at positions 1294 to 1500 of the family's 1533-position model. The record is from RNAcentral.
CAGACUGCAGGCUGCAACUCGCCUGCACGAAGUCGGAAUUGCUAGUAAUCGUAGGUCAGCAUACUACGGUGAAUACGUUCCCGGGCCUUGUACACACCGCCCGUCAAACCAUGAGAGUUGGCAACACCCGAAGUCGGUAGUCUAACCGCAAGGAGGACGCCGCCGAAGGUGGGGUUGAUGAUUAGGGUUAAGUCGUAACAAGGUAGC